GUAGGGUGCGAGCGUUAAUCGGAAUUACUGGGCGUAAAGGGUGCGCAGGCGGCCCCGCAAGUCAGGCGUGAAAUCCCCGAGCUUAACUUGGGAAUUGCGUUUGAAACUACGAGGCUGGAGUGUGGCAGAGGGAGGUGGAAUUCCACGUGUAGCGGUGAAAUGCGUAGAUAUGUGGAGGAACACCGAUGGCGAAGGCAGCCUCCUGGGCCAACACUGACGCUCAUGCACGAAAGCGUGGGGAGCAAACAGGAUUAGAUACCCUGGUAGUCCACGCCCUAAACUAUGUCUACUAGUUGUUGGGGGAGUUAAAUCCCUUAGUAACGCAGCUAACGCGAGAAGUAGACCGCCUGGGGAGUACGGUCGCAAGAUUA
This 371-nucleotide ribosomal RNA is filed under the name uncultured bacterium. RNAcentral describes it as "bacterial SSU rRNA". It matches the Rfam family "Bacterial small subunit ribosomal RNA", at positions 527 to 896 of the family's 1533-position model. The record is from RNAcentral.